Molecule: RNA transcript, 8959 nt
Organism: Cydia pomonella (codling moth)
Lineage: Eukaryota; Metazoa; Arthropoda; Insecta; Lepidoptera; Tortricidae
Gene name: lipid scramblase CLPTM1L
Exons: 8
Source: RefSeq, a predicted model, not a curated record
UUCGUUUUCGUCCCGUUGUCAUAAAAACCGUCCCUUUUCAGAUUACACACCGUCCGACGAAAUUGGAUAUAUGCGCUGGCAACACUGGUCAAUAAUGUCAAUUUUUUUCAAUUUAUCUUGACAAAUCCAUACAGAUUGAAAAAGAGAGGCUGCUUAAAUUCAAUUGUAUAGUAUUAGUUUUAUAAAUUAUUUCGUGAUGAAAUACAUCUCACUUAGUUUAAUAUUAACUUUAAUAUUUGCUGGAUAUGUUAUUAAUACGAUAUGGACUCUAGCCGAAAUAUUCAUCCCGCCGGAAUGUAGUCGUGGCGAACGAUGUUUUAGUUCCUAUUUAGCUUCAAAUCCAGUCCAGCAUUUAGUUCUUUAUACCUCUGUUAGAGAAUAUCCGCACGAGGGUGAUCCCGCCUCAGAAGCGGUGACAAAGGUGCAUACUUCGGUGAAUUUCGACUACCGGAAUCCGGCUUCUAUAGAUGUCACAUUGAAAAUUCCUCGCAGAACCCGCAAUAAUGGCACACUGUUCAUGCAUGCGGUUCUCCUUGAUGAAGACCGGUUGUACAAGCAGUUUGAUGAAAUCCUUAGAACAGAAACAUUGCAUACCUUGCCACUUAUCACAUUUAUUGAGCCACAGGCAGCUACAUUUAAUUUAUUAAAUAAAAAUACCGAAGAGAAAAAACCAAAGGUUCAAAAUGUAAAGCCCAUAGCUCAUAUAAACACCAUAGUUCCUCUGUCUGUUUUAACAGACAAUUUAAACCUUCCAGCUAACAAAAUACCUGGGGAAUUGUACUCUUACAUAAGAUUACGCAACCGUAAGUUCUUGCCGAUUAUUCAGCACAAUGUUCUGAAAUCUCGACUGUCAAACCUUCAGCCAUUAAACAGCAGCAGUUCUGAAGUGAACAUAACUGUCACCGUGUCACCAUCCUCAUAUGGGUCCUUACGUUUAGCCCUACAUGUCCGCUUGGCUUUAGACCAACUACAUAACCUGGGAUUUAGCGACAAAGAUGUUGACGAUGUUAAGGGGAUCUUUGCUGAUACCAACCUGUACCUGCUGUCUGCAACACUUUUGAUUGCUAGUUGUCAUUUGUUGUUCGACUUCCUGUCAUUCAAGAACGAUGUGUCAUUCUGGCGAAGCAAGCGCUCCUUGGGCGGGCUCUCAGCCCGCACCGUGCUAUGGCGCGCGUUCUCACAGCUGGUCAUCUUCUUCUAUCUUCUGGACGAGCACACGUCGCUUCUGGUGCUGGUGCCGGCUGGCGUCAGCGCGGUUAUUGAGCUAUGGAAGGUGACGAAGAUCCUCCACGUGCGCGUCUCCUGGUCGGGCUGGAAGCCCCGCGUGUGGCGCGACGUGCCGGACGCGGCCGAGCGCAGCACCGCCGCCGCCGACGCCGAGGCCAUGAAGUACCUGUCCAUGCUGCUGUACCCGCUGUGUCUGGUCGGCGCGGUUUAUUCGCUGCUCUACGAGCCCCACAAGAGUUGGUACUCGUGGGCGCUCCACAGCGUCGUGAACGGCGUGUAUGCGUUCGGCUUCCUGUUCAUGCUCCCGCAACUGUUCGUCAACUACCGCCUGCGCUCCGUGGCGGCCCUGCCGUGGCGCGCCUUCAUGUACAAGGCGUUCAACACGUUCAUUGAUGACGUGUUCGCGUUUAUCAUUACUAUGCCGACCGCGCAUAGGGUGGCUUGCUUUAGAGACGACUUGGUGUUCCUCGUGUAUCUGUACCAACGAUGGUAAGUCAUUUGAGAUUAUACUAUUUAAUCUAUCUACGCUCUGGCGGUGCUUAUGUGUCGCGCCUUCAUGUACCUACAAGGCGUUCAACACGUUCAUUGAUGACGUGUUCGCGUUUAUCAUUACUAUGCCGACCGCGCAUAGGGUGGCUUGCUUUAGAGACGACUUGGUGUUCCUCGUGUAUCUGUACCAACGAUGGUUAUACCCGGUCGACAAGUCGCGAACAGACUCGGCUGUCAGCAUGGACGAAAACCCGGAAGAGUUGGAGCCGCUGAAAGAAAAAGCCGAAUAAGGCUUAUUAAUUCUAUUAGUCCAUGAGAUGUUCAAAAUCCUCUGGCCAGAUGAAAUAAAUUUGAGUCAGGAACUUCACACUUUAGGCACAUAAUAGAUAGUAUUCGCUUCGAACUUGUUGUCGGUAUCUGUAGUUGUCAGCUGUCAGCCUUAUUACCCAAUAGAGUUCAAUCAUUGAGCUUCAAUUAAGAAUAUGAAGCAAGUGACUUGCUAAAAUACUUGUCUAUCUAAAAUACAGAUGAGAGUUAAAUUGAUUUUGUAUUAAGCGUCUGCAAACGAUACCACGCUUAGAAAUCAAGGAAAAGUGGAAAACUUGGGUGAGAUUCGAACUCGCGACUCUGGAACCUGUCCAUCGCUCGGCCGACUGAGCUACCGAGACUUACCCGAUGACAACGAAUAUUUCCACCAUAUCCCUCCUACGCGGCUUAGGGAGGAGCCGAGAUAAAAGUUUAAGGGGCAACCACUUGCUUUAGGCCCGAGACUACCACCGAACACCAUCGUUAGGCGUUUCCUUUGGUUUUCAAAUAAGCGACCACCACGGCAGUAUUCCUUCUUGCUUCCAUAGUGUUUGAUGUGAUGUGACACUAAAGGGUCUUGCACCAACCACAGUUAGUGACCUAAUCAGUGUUGGCCCAAUGUUAAUUUGAAUUGACCAUAUUGAAAAUUAUCCAUUUCAAAUUGAACCGUAACCGUAACGGACGGUUACAGUUUACGGUUCAAUUUGUAAUGGAUAACUUUCAAUAUGGUCAAUUCUGAUUAACGUUCGGCCAACUAUGAAAUUUCCCAUGCAAUAAAAAUAAAAUUGACGACCGGUCUGGCCUAGUGGGUAGUGACCCUGCCUAUGAAGUCGAAGGUCCUGGGUUCGUCGAAUCCCGGUAGGAGCAUUUAUUUUUGUGAUGAACCCAGAUAUUUGUUCCUGAGUCAUAGGUGUUGUCAUAGAGAAAUAAGAAGUAAUAGAGUGCUCACUCCAUACAUCAGUUUUGGUACCAAAUGAUUAUUAUAUUCGCAGUCGACAUCUAGCAUCGAGUAGCGGAACUCUCAGUACUGCUACUCGACAAUAGAUAUCGCGGCAAACAAAAAGUCUAAUGCUCAACGAUUUUCCGCUAAUAUUAUAACUAGAGUAACCAGAACUCUAUUUUCAACUCCUACAUUUCUCUGGUUAUAAUAUUAGCUGAAAAUCGUUGAGCAUUAGACUUUUUGUUUGCCGCGAUAUCUAUUGUCGAGUAGCAGUACUGAGAGUUCCGCUACUUGAUGCUAGAUGUCGACUGCGAAUAUAAUAAUCAUUUUGGUACCAAAACUGAUGGAUGGAGUGAGCACUCUAUUACUUCUUAUUUCUCUAUGGUGUUGUCUAUGUAUAUAUCUAUAUAAGUAUGUCGUCGCCUAGUACCCAUAGUAGAAGCUUUGUUUAGUUUGGGGCUAGGUUGAUAUGUAUAAGAUGUCCCCUAAUAUUUCUUUAAUUUAGCAAACACGGUGACAUAAGGUUUGGCGCAACUGACACUAAAUAUUGCAUCAAGAGAGAUUAUACAGCAACAUAUUUGACUGACCGUAGACCUUCUUUCAUUGCAAUAAGGUAUACUGAUAGUCAUAUAACUUUGUCAAUUAAGGUUCUUAUAUUAUAAUACUAUCUAACUUGUGGUAUAAUUAAUUUUGUUUUACUCCGUCCAUGGCCACAGUAUUCCAUAUAGGCUUUUUUAACAUCUCACGGACAAUAUGUAGACGACCUAGUUAAUUUGGUUAUUUCUAUAGUAGGUAAUGAGAUGACUGCUUGGUUAUAUAUAAGCUAAACUGUAUUGUUUCCUGUAAUUUAUUUGGUAUAGUCGGUCAAACAAGUUAGUCAGUAGAAUAAGGCGCGAAUUUCAAAUUUUCUAUAGGACCGUAACGCGUCGCGCCUAUAUUUUUUAAAUUUGCCGCUUUUUUCUACUGACGGAAAUGGCUUGACAGACUAUAUUUGCGGUACGUGUUCAGUCGGCAGCCAGUUUGCAGAGGCGAACCAAGCUGACUCUGCACGGCAUCUGCAAUGGAAAAAUAUCCAAAAUAAAACGAUUAUAAUGACACUCCCCCAUUUUGUUCUGCUCAAGUCGGUGAAAAUUUAGCUUAGGAUGGUAUUCCACCUGUCCGAUUUCUUGGUGCAAUGUGUAUUUGCAUCUCACAUUUUGCUUAAUGAGAGAGUAAGACGCAAUUCACAUUGGACAAAGAAAUUGGACAUGAUCAAAAUUAAUUGUACAAGUCUCAUGCUUAUAUUCAUAAAUGUCGUGCAAGUCUCAUAUAGCUAUAGUUUGUUUUUCCUUGUCGGUCACUGUGACAUUUGUGCUACUUAGAAAGAGACAUAACAAGAGUUUAAACGAAUAGAGGCUUAUAAACUGAAAUAGAGGUCAUAUAUUAAAGAAAAAGUGACGAAGCCCUCCAGUGGUGAAGGCCGGAUUUAGUGUUUGCUAAAUUGAAGAACUCGACUUGUUUUUACGAGAUAUAGAACUUAAAAACCUUCUAAGUCUUAAGUCCCGAGUCGAGUCCUUUAUUGUGUCUUUUUUAAGCACAUCUCAAAAGGACUCGAGUCUCCGAAUAAAGACUCGGUCAACAAUUUUAUAGGUUUUACCUAAACAACAGUAAAGGAAAUAGGAAAAUAAAAAUAUUGUUGUAUAAUUUAUGUUAUAUGUACAUCCAUGAAUUUUAUAUAAAGACAACGCAUUUCUAAGUUAUUUGUAAUAAAAUUACAAGUUCUCCGAAAAGGACUCAAGUCUCUACAAAUGACUCGGGUCUGAAAAACUGAGUAGAGUCUUAAAGCAGAGGACUCAAAGGACUCGAGUCUUAACCAACACUAGCCGGAUUACACAAUACAAAUCAAAAUAUUUAAUAAAUGAAUUUGUGUAAUUUAAAGUUGUGUAUUAGAGGCUUGUUAAGUUUUAUGAAAGAGUGGGUUCUCUUGACAAUGUUAAUCAGCAAAUAUUUCGAGCAUUUCAUGAAUAGUCGUUCAAUUUGUAGCUGGCCGCGAACGGCUAUUCUAAUCCUCUGUCUAUUAGUAAAACCGCACGUGCCAAAAAAAGGGGUCGUAUAAUUCUAAUUGGCAUCUAAGCGCGGGCUAGUCCAACGCAUAAAAAAAACCAGUGUAGGUGCGCUCUCCGAUAACGCGCCUUUGUUAUGCAUCUCGAGGACACAUUUUAGACUGGUUCUGUAGUGUUCGACUCGCCGGCACUCAGUAACCGUAGAGUGACCACACAAGAAAUCGCAAAUUAUUCUUACAUUUGUUCAUUUUGUAUUUUAUUGCUAUUUCCAUGGGAGUUGUAAGUCAAUAAUUUAUUAUAACAUAUUAUACUUAACAAUAGACAAAAGAUUAGCCGUUCGGGGUCAGCUACAAAUCGAACGACUAUAGCUACUAUUGUUCCUGACUGUACAUUUUACGGUGCCAGAGACAAUGUAAACUAAAAAACGAUUUAAAUUAAAAUGAAAUUAUUAAUUUAGGUUAUGCUUAAAUUAGCUUUAUUUCUCAAAUGAACUGUGAAUGAGGCUGUCUAAGGUGCUAAAAAGAUUUGCGCCAUUACUAUUUAUUUUAAUAUUUAUUUUACAGCACAUAUGGUGCUAUUUUACCGCACUAGUGUGAUAAUUAUCACAUUACAUAACUAUGUCGAAACUUAUAUAUUGCCAUAUGUUACUGUAAAACGUUGUACGAUACAUGUGCGAAUAGGUAAUUCGUAACUCUUGUCGAUUUAAAACACUCCCUUCGGUCAUGUUUUAAUUUAUCGCCACUCGUUUUGAUUCGCACUAGUAUCGUAAUGUACUAGAAUAUGAUAAACGCAUAUAUUAUACUUGAUCAUUCCGUUAACUUCUGUAUUAGAUACCUACAUAAGUGCAGAAUAAGCCCUAGUAUUUAAAAAAUAUCUUUUGAGCAAUAAUUUGUACUAGCGUCUGAGUCGCGUAAGAAAAUUAGAAAGUAAAUUGCUAAACUAUGUUAAACAUAUGAUAAAAAUAAUUUAUUAAAAUGCCUAAUGUAUAUUUGAGUGAAUGGCGUAACGAUAUAUGACCACGGCCGGCAAAACGUCCCACUUUGUCGCUUGCCAUACGAACACUUUGGCAGGUUAUUCGUACAAAGAUACAAGCAAAUCUCGUCCUUAUGGCAAGCGUCAAAGUGGGACGUUUUGCCGGCCGCGGUACCAUAUAACUUAAUUAUCACUUUUAACGCAGAUAAUACUUGAAAUAGUCGAACUCUAACGCAAAAAUCGAUCAGGGUCAAGUUAUUAUAGCGUAAGCUGUCAAGUAGCCCAGAUGCUUUGUCGUUGAUAUUCACUCCCAUUAAAGUAAGGGCACUAAAAACGAAGAAAUUCGUACAUCGAAUUGCCAUUUCCUAUCUCUGUCGCACGCGCAUAGUUAUAUUAGUGUCCCGCUCGCACAGUGGCAUUGCCGUCUCCAUCAUCAGCGGGACAGCGAUCUAAUUAUCAGUCUUGGCCGAACGUUAAUUAGAAUUAACGAUUGACCAUUACUAAUUAAACCGUAAAUUGGUCAAUUCUAAUUAACGUUUGGCGAACACUGAUAAUUAUGCUCGUGAGGGUUCCAUACCCGAAGGGAGCCAAAUGGAACACAAUAACAGAGAGUAAUAAUUACUAAUGUCUGCGUGCUGUAACUCAAUAAUAAUAGGAAGUUGGCAUCAUUCUCUGUUACUCUAAAACGAAAACGAAAUUCUUUUCGUCCACUAGUGAAUUAACCAAAACGGUUUGAAAAAUAAAACUAUUUCCGAGACAAUUUUUGUUUGUUUCGGAUCGUAUUUUUUGAAAAUUGGAAGUUUGGAAUUUGUCGGCCCGAUUAAGUUAUACAUGCUAAAUUGCAGCUUUCUAGUACCGUGAUCGUUACACGAAACAAAUCCUCGGACAGACAGGCUAACAGACAGACAGACUGGGCGAAACUAUAAGGGUUCCUAGUUGGCAACGGAAUCCUAUAAAUUGUAUGAUGGCACUGAAACUUGCUUGCCUUUGGCACUUGGUUGCCUUUUUAGGGUUCCGUACCCAAAGGGUCAAACGGGACCCUUUUACUGAGACUCCGCUGUACGUCCGUCCGUCCGUCUGUUUGUCUGUCACCAGGCUGUAUCUCAUGAACCGUGAUAGUUAACCAGUUGAAAUUUCUACUUUUUAUUACUUCUGUUGUCGCUAUAACAACAAAUACUAAAAACAGAAUAAAAUAAAUAGUUAAAAUAUUUUUUUUUUUUAUGAUAAUGGUACGGAACCCUUCGUGCGCGAUUCCGACUCGCAAUUGGCCGGUUUUUUAUUCUAUGUACCUAACAAAUAGCGCCAUAGCGGUGAGACGGCUAAAAUCCCAUUAAUAUUUAGUUGUGAAAAAUGAUGCGUAGGUAGUUGUUAACUAGUGGAUAAAUUGACGACUUAGCGUCAAUUCAAAAUUGACAUAAUUUUAUCUGAAUUCCACAUCGAAUAACAGACCACUCGCGUCCAGAAUUAGAAAGAAUAAACUUACUGUUGCGGGCGUAUAGUUCAUGAUAUUACCCCGUUAUGGUGUAAGUCGUAUUUGAUUGUUGAGAGCCUGUUCUGUCCCACUGCUGGGCAAAUGCCUCCCCCCGCCUUUUCCAUUUUUUUCGGUUUUUUGCAGUGUUCCGCCAUUCCAAGUACUUUUAAUUGCGUGUCUUGAUAAAAAAUCGCAGUUCAAGCUUACUCUCUCUUAUUCUGGAUAAAUAAAAAAAUAGUUACUUACCUACCUUCACCAUCUUGAUUACCUUCAUCAUUUUUCUUAAUUGAAAUGAAAUGAACGGCAAGCAGAUAAGUUUUUUGGUCUGAGAGUAUUAUUCUUUUUACAAGUACAGUGAGGCUAAAUUGGUGAAAUGUAUGGAAACACCUUUGCUGCCAUAAAAACAAGGACGUGUACCGAUAUAUUUGGCCACUUUGGCCGUCACUAUCUAUUUAAUGCUGUGUAUGCGCUGGAGGUAGUCCUCAAAUGUGUUAGAAAAAUACAACCAAAAAUAUAUUAUACAGUAUUAUGAGUCGAAUAAUGCUACUUAUAGAUGCUGUAAUGUUCUAGAAAGGUAUAUAUAUAUAUUUUGGAUUCAUGAUGCAUGCCAAUGGAGGUAAACUAAUCUUAAUGAUGCUAUUUAGUGGCGUUAAUGUCAUAUUAUAGGUAUAUUUUACAAAUGUAAAGGCUAUAUAUGGGCUAAGUUUUUGUAAGACUCAAAUUAUUUAUACUCGUAUUUUGUCCAGAAGUAAAAAUAAUUAAUUGAUUCAGAAGAGAAUAUCCCAAAUUUUUUGAACAUCGUUUAGGUGCCAAAACACCUGAGAAUUGAUUGUACAGUUCUAUUCUAUAGGUGUGUACAAUACAUGUGCGAAUACGUCGCAACUCGUGUCGAUUUAAAACACUCGUUGCUGAUUUCCUACUUUCUGCACUUGUAUCGUAAAAAACUAUAAACAAAGAGCCGAUUUUUCAGACCCCCAGAUAAAAGCUGGUUAAACGAUAACACGAUUCUCAUGUGUCAUUCUCAUAACCUAUUUCGAUCUAAGAUACCUACAUUCAUCAGAUUCCUUUCUCGUCAGGACAAAUUGUAGCCUGUUUUUUUUCGGGCGAAAACGUUGGAAUACCUACUUAUCGGACAAGUUAAAUGGUAACUGAAAAAUCGGCCCUAACUAAGUAAUUUAUGAGACAAUAUUUUGUAAUGAAUGUUAGUGUAUUUUAGUGUGACUGAUCCUGACAGUGACACUGAAGUUGACAGAAUAAAGAUUUCUUACGAUUUUAGUUACAACGCGUGAUUUUUGACAUUGUCCUACGGUGGCCUAGUGUCUCAUUAGUUGACUGUACUCGUACCUACACAACUUAGCAGUAUAAACGAAUUAAUAUACUUAUGAAAUUAGAAACUUGCUUUGUUACAUUGAUGUUAGAUUUAGCACCUAUUAUAUAUUCUGCUGGAUUUAUAUUUUAUACUAACGAAAAUACUUACAGGACUAUAUUAAAUUGUUUAUGAUUUUGUAAAAA